This 1092-nucleotide long non-coding RNA is filed under the name Medicago truncatula (barrel medic). RNAcentral describes it as "lncRNA gene48026". The record is from RNAcentral. Lineage: Eukaryota; Viridiplantae; Streptophyta; Magnoliopsida; Fabales; Fabaceae.
GCACAAACCGUAUUAAUUUGUGGGCGGAAUUGGGUCUUUAAAUUUGAUGAUCGGUUUCAUGCAUCUUACCGAGUUUGGGCUCGAACCCACCCGAACCCGACCGUUGCUCUACCCUAAACAUUUGUAAAUGUUUUCGAAAAGAUCCAUAGAAAUGGAUUCCUCUUUAUAAUAAAUAUAGAUAUAGACAUAGAUAUAGAUGAAAAUUUUAACUUCUUAACUCCGGUGAACAUUUUUUUUUUUUUAAAGAGGAGCAAUAGCGUUCUCCUCAACUUCCGCCCUUCAUGAAUCGAAUCCACUACCCUUUUGGUUGAAGGUAAACAUAACAAAAGAUAAAUAAUAAAAAGUAAUAUAAUUCUUUAAUUGAUCACGCGUUUCAAUUGCACAUUUUCUUUCGGUUAUAAUACUCCUAAAUAAACAUUUUUUUCUCAUCUAAAUAAAAAAACUUCCUUCACUUUCAUAAAAAGUUUCCUUCUUACAAAAACCUAGGUUGCACAUUCUUUGCCAGCGUGUGGUCCUUGGUCCUUCAAUGGUUGCGUAUCUCCUUCAUCGCCCAACUGCAGUUCACGAUCAUCUUCUUCAGUUCAGUCUCCUGGAUGGGUUCUCGAGAUCAACACAUUAUUUCUUCAAAAUAAUCUGACUAGCUUGUGUCUGGGUUAUUUGGAAGGAAAGGAACAAUCAGGUGUUUAAUUAGAAGGCACAAGACUCACAUUCUAUUUCAGACAAAGUUAAGCUGCUUUCUUUACUUUGAUUAAAGGCUAAUAUGGUUACUUUUGAUUUCGACUACCACGACCGGUGGUGGCGCACCCUUUAUCUUGUAUAGGUGUCAUGUUGUAAUCUUCGGUCUAUUUUGUUUUUUUUUUCAUCGUGCGCUCUUUUGAGGCGCAAGUGACUUAACUUUGUAAUAAUUUUUUAGUGGUUCUCUUUUGCAUGCCUUGUGCUAGAGGAAUCACUUGUGUGGUUAGUAAUAUUGGCUUGUUUAGAAAAAAAUUAGCAAUCAUUUAUUUAUUAUAUCAAGAUUGUACGUUUUUUAUACAAUAACACGUGGUUGUUGUAUUAAUAUGAAAUAGCUAAUAUAAUAACAUUUGUAACUUC